CAGGCAGGCAGCAUGACUUCAGCCUACAACCUGGAUUUUCUGCCCGAUAUGAUGGUGGAGAGCCGCCUGCUCGUCCCUGGAGACAGGCUACCUUGGCCUGAAUGUCACUGUAGAGGAAAAUUCAUGUGGAAGAUCACAGGAAGUCCAGAAUUAGCCGUUUGCUGCAGUGUUUCAGGAGAUGCACAGAGGAAUCCAGAUUAAACGACCAAACAUCUCUAAACUCGGUGAAUCCGGUUUAUCGAACCCAGGAUUGAUUAAUCACCA
Poecilia latipinna (sailfin molly) is the source of this 264-nucleotide long non-coding RNA. RefSeq lists it as uncharacterized. NCBI's taxonomy places the organism in Eukaryota, Metazoa, Chordata, Actinopteri, Cyprinodontiformes, Poeciliidae. The record is from RefSeq and is a predicted model, not a curated record. The transcript is spliced from 3 exons.